AUGCGUAGGUGGCAAGCGUUAUCCGGAAUUAUUGGGCGUAAAGAGGGAGCAGGCGGUUAAUUAAGUCUGAGGUUAAAGCGUGGGGCUCAACCCCAUAAAGCCUUGGAAACUGAUUGACUAGAGUACGGGAGAAGUGAAGGGAACUCCAUGUGUAGCGGUGAAAUGCGUAGAUAUAUGGAAGAACACCAGUGGCGAAGGCGCUUCACUAGACCGAAACUGACGCUCAGUCACGAAAGCGUGGGUAGCAAAUAGGAUUAGAUACCCUAGUAGUCCACGCUGUAAACGAUGACAACUAAAUAUUGCCGCGAGGCAGUGUUGAAGCUAACGCAUUAAGUUGUCCGCCUGGGGAGUACGGUCGCAAGACUGAAACUUAAAGGAAUUGACGGGG
RNAcentral lists this ribosomal RNA (388 nucleotides) under uncultured bacterium. Its description in RNAcentral is "partial 16S ribosomal RNA". It matches the Rfam family "Bacterial small subunit ribosomal RNA", at positions 523 to 918 of the family's 1533-position model. The record is from RNAcentral.